AUCCAGCUGAUGAGUCCCAAAUGAGACGAAACGCGCAUCCUGAAU
Molecule: non-coding RNA, 45 nt
Filed under: Schistosoma mansoni
Lineage: Eukaryota; Metazoa; Platyhelminthes; Trematoda; Strigeidida; Schistosomatidae
Source: RNAcentral